GACGAGCCACACGAACGUUAUUCGGAAUUACUGGGCUUAAAGGGUGCGUAGGCUGCGCGGAAAGUUGGGUGUGAAAUCCCUCGGCUUAACCGAGGAACUGCGCCCAAAACUACCGUGCUCGAGGAAGAUAGAGGUGAGCGGAACUUACGGUGGAGCGGUGAAAUGCGUUGAUAUCGUAAGGAACACCCGUGGCGAAAGCGGCUCACUGGGUCUUUUCUGACGCUGAUGCACGAAAGCUAGGGGAGCAAACGGG
Molecule: ribosomal RNA, 253 nt
Filed under: uncultured bacterium
Lineage: Bacteria
Description: partial 16S ribosomal RNA
Rfam family: Bacterial small subunit ribosomal RNA
Source: RNAcentral